UCGCUAGUAAUCGCAGAUCAGAAUGCUGCGGUGAAUACGUUCCCGGGUCUUGUACACACCGCCCGUCACACCAUGGGAGCCAGGAAUGCCCGAAGCCAGUGGCCUAACCGCAAGGGAGGAGCUGUCGAAGGCAGGCCCGGUAACUGGGGUGAAGUCGUAACAAGGUAUC
RNAcentral lists this ribosomal RNA (169 nucleotides) under uncultured bacterium. Its description in RNAcentral is "partial 16S ribosomal RNA". It matches the Rfam family "Bacterial small subunit ribosomal RNA", at positions 1332 to 1500 of the family's 1533-position model. The record is from RNAcentral.